RNAcentral lists this transfer RNA (83 nucleotides) under Elusimicrobiota bacterium. RNAcentral describes it as "Elusimicrobia bacterium (hot springs metagenome) tRNA-Leu". It matches the Rfam family "tRNA". Rfam says of the family: Transfer RNA (tRNA) molecules are approximately 80 nucleotides in length. Their secondary structure includes four short double-helical elements and three loops (D, anti-codon, and T loops). The record is from RNAcentral. Lineage: Bacteria; Pseudomonadati; Elusimicrobiota.
GCCGCGGUGGUGGAAUUGGCAGACACGUACGUUUGAGGGGCGUAUGCCGUAAAGGCGUGUGGGUUCAAAUCCCACCCGCGGCA